This 482-nucleotide ribosomal RNA is filed under the name uncultured bacterium. RNAcentral describes it as "bacterial SSU rRNA". It matches the Rfam family "Bacterial small subunit ribosomal RNA", at positions 501 to 985 of the family's 1533-position model. The record is from RNAcentral.
CUACGUGCCAGCAGCCGCGGUAAUACGUAGGUGGCAAGCGUUGUCCGGAAUUAUUGGGCGUAAAGGGCUUGUAGGCGGUUGGUCGCGUCUGCCGUGAAAUCCUCUGGCUUAACUGGGGGCGUGCGGUGGGUACGGGCUGACUUGAGUGCGGUAGGGGAGACUGGAACUCCUGGUGUAGCGGUGGAAUGCGCAGAUAUCAGGAAGAACACCGGUGGCGAAGGCGGGUCUCUGGGCCGUUACUGACGCUGAGGAGCGAAAGCGUGGGGAGCGAACAGGAUUAGAUACCCUGGUAGUCCACGCAGUAAACGAUGACAACUGGGCGUAUGCGAUAUACAGUAUGCUCCUAAGCGAAAGCGUUAAGUUAUCCACCUGGGGAGUACGCCGGCAACGGUGAAACUCAAAGGAAUUGACGGGGGCCCGCACAAGCGGAGGAACAUGUGGUUUAAUUCGAUGAUACGCGAGGAACCUUACCCGGGAUUGAA